This is a long non-coding RNA of Cicer arietinum (chickpea), 1482 nucleotides long. RefSeq lists it as uncharacterized. NCBI's taxonomy places the organism in Eukaryota, Viridiplantae, Streptophyta, Magnoliopsida, Fabales, Fabaceae. The record is from RefSeq and is a predicted model, not a curated record.
UUGAUUUGUGAUUUGGACGAAAGUAGCCCUAGUUUAAUAAUUUAUAUAGAAAAGUGAAAGAGGAAGUAAAGAAGAAGAAGAAGAAUGAAUGUUGAAGCACAUGAAGACGACCCUUUUGGGUUUAUUAUUGAAGAAUACAAAAUAUCCCUUUCCUAAGAGGAACUCUUACGUAACACUCCCUUAGUCGGAGAUUACUCCUACCAACCCCCCAUUCUUCCUUCUCUUACCCCCCCUCUCCCUCCCCCCGUUCCUUCUCUUACUCCUCUUCUUCAUCAUUGUACUCUUAAUCUCGCCUCUGAUAUUGACGAUCACUUCCAUUGCUUCGUUGAUUUAACUCAGGAUUCUGAUUUAGGGUUUUCUCACCCUCAUCCCAAUCAUAAUGGUAUCGAACAACCCCUCCAGGAGAACCACAAUAAUCUCCAAACUCAACAACCUUCUCCAAUGUCUGAACUAAUCCGAUUUCUUUUGGAUAAGGCUACUCAAUCUGGCAACGAUCAUUUUUCUGUUUUUGAUGUAUUGCAAUUUCUCGCGAUAAAGAGGAGUGGUACUGAAGUUCCAGUUCAACUCAAUGGUCUUUCUGUGUUGGAAGUUGCAAAGCUUGCUCAUAUUACUUUUCCUCGCCCAAGGUGGUGGCCUCACCAUUUUCAAUCCAAAUUAUUCAACUUCCAUGAUUAACUGUCACGGAGGACGUUGAUGGUUUGCUUUUUUUUUUGGAACAUUCUCUCACUUGCACUUCCAAGUGUUUUUUUUAUGUUUAAUGGUGCUUCAGCUGCUUUGUUGUUACUAGUCUCAGUCAAUUAAUCUCCAAAUUGAAAAUGAAGACUACAUUUAGGAUGUGUUUGGUUUGGUUUAUUAUUCUCAUUUUCAGCUGAUAUAUUUUCAUCACAAUUAUAAUUACAUAAAUACUACCUUGUUUUUGAAUCAUUGUUGUAAGGAUGUUGAGCCAUUUGAAGCUCUGCAUAUGAUAUGCUAUAAUGGUUGUAACUUCUGCAAAAAGCUUCCAUAACUGCAUUGUUUCCACCCUUGUUGUUGUUGUUGCCAUUGGUUUUGAUGAUCGGUGUAAGGAUCUUCUUUCACUUGGAGAUAUGAGUUUAGCAUGCAAAGGCCAUUGUUUGAAGCAAUUUUUAUUGCACUUUUGAGACUAAUUUACCUUUUCUUUUUUUCUUUUUUUUCCACACCUACCAAACUAUCCAAACGAGUUUGCCCAGAACUGUGGAUCUUCCAUGCUUCACUGAAGCUAGGAAUCAGGGAACUUUUGUUUAUUUGGUCGUAAUUAGUCUAGUUUGGAGAAAACAAUUGAUGACUAAAGCACAAAGCAAAUAAUUCUACAACACUUAUGUAUAUUUUUUAAAAGUAUAUAUUAGUACUUAAACUGCACAUUCACUCUUGAUUGUAGUGAAAGAUGACAAUAGCAAGUGAAUACCAUUUAGUGUCAACUGUUAAUAUAUUUUAGAGUGGGCUUUAUUGAUAAUUGCAGUGAAA